CAAAACACAUGAGCGUAGACAAUAAUGAUACAAAAGCCUUAACAGCAUGGAAAAUGACCACACAAUCACUCCCCCUCCCUUUUUUUACAUUUACAGAAGGACAAAUAAGCAAGCUGUUGCCUGGCUGUGGCCAUGUCUUCAUGUCUAAUGGAAUCUUCUACCAAAUUCCCUUUAAUGCAAGGUCAGCUUUCAACAAGUGGUUUCUUGUCAGGAGCAACCAUGACACAAGCAGGCAGAAACACAACGCAGGCAUGAGACAUUUCAGGCAAGAGAGCCACAUCUGAGCAAAAUCUCUG
Molecule: long non-coding RNA, 296 nt
Organism: Cyprinus carpio carpio
Lineage: Eukaryota; Metazoa; Chordata; Actinopteri; Cypriniformes; Cyprinidae
Source: Ensembl